AAGUUUUAGUAGUUUAAUAAAAAUAUUGAUAUUGUAAAUCAGAGAUGUAAAUUUUUUACUUAAAACU
This 67-nucleotide transfer RNA is filed under the name Rhynchothorax sp. JZ-2022. RNAcentral describes it as "tRNA-Thr". Lineage: Eukaryota; Metazoa; Arthropoda; Pycnogonida; Pantopoda; Tanystylidae. The record is from RNAcentral.